This 250-nucleotide long non-coding RNA is filed under the name Prunus persica (peach). RNAcentral describes it as "long non-coding RNA (PPER_LNC002047)". The record is from RNAcentral. Lineage: Eukaryota; Viridiplantae; Streptophyta; Magnoliopsida; Rosales; Rosaceae.
CUAAAAGUGGAAAAAGACUUUUUUAAACCUAAUCUCACUUUUCCUGCUGCCAAAGUUCAUUUCCUCCAUCACAGCUCUUCUCCUCCACAAGGUAAGUCUCUUUGCAAUUUUUUUUUUCUCGGUUUUCAAAUGCAUUUAUUUAUGUUCUCUAUUUUCUUUUCUUAUCUCCCUCCACAACAAUAGAAGAGUUGGAUUUGGUGGUGAGGUGACAAUUCUUUCUUAUGUUUUUUUUUUAAAGAGAAACGAAACA